RNAcentral lists this ribosomal RNA (154 nucleotides) under Prunus dulcis (almond). Its description in RNAcentral is "rRNA SSU_rRNA_microsporidia". It matches the Rfam family "Bacterial small subunit ribosomal RNA", at positions 1042 to 1197 of the family's 1533-position model. The record is from RNAcentral. Lineage: Eukaryota; Viridiplantae; Streptophyta; Magnoliopsida; Rosales; Rosaceae.
UGCAUGGCUAUCGUCAGUUCGUGCCAUAAGGUGUUGAUUCAAGUCCUGCAACGAGGGCAAUCCUCAUUUUUAGUUGCCAUCGUUGAGUUUAGAACCAUGAGCAAACUGCCGGUGAUAAGCCGAAGGAAGGUGAGGAUGACGUUAAGUCACCAUG